This is a long non-coding RNA of Balaenoptera ricei (Rice's whale), 1642 nucleotides long. RefSeq lists it as uncharacterized. The record is from RefSeq and is a predicted model, not a curated record. NCBI's taxonomy places the organism in Eukaryota, Metazoa, Chordata, Mammalia, Artiodactyla, Balaenopteridae. The transcript is spliced from 4 exons.
GCGCACGUCUCGGCGGGGCGGAGCCAGCGUGGGGCACGUAUUCUUGGCCGCCGAGAGAUGGGGAAGGCAGAGCCGGUCCUUUCCUCCUGGAUCAGGACGCAAGUCCCAAGAGAGAACUGGACAUGCGGCCUUUUGCAGACACACAGCAGCUGUCCGGGCUCCCCACCUCGCGCAGCAAAACAAACGCUUCCCUCCAGACUUAGGACUUGUGAUCAUAAGUUUUAUUAGUCUUAGGAGGAGAAGAUCAUCGAUAGUUCCUCAAAUUUUAAAAAAAGUACAAAAGUUACAUACAAAACGUUGAGAUCAGACGACUAAACUUUCCCGACUCAGGCCCAAGUUCUGCAAGGGAAAAAGAAAGAAGGAUGUGAGCUGGAGAGGACUGGAGAAGAGGGUCCAGGAAGGCUCUUAGAGCCAGGGCCGCGAUGAAGCAGGUUGCCCACCGCUGAGUUCAGUGACCGUAAAGUUAGCCAGCAUGGACUGAGACGCGGCCCCGUGCUGGGCCUGCAUUCACAGUGCUCCCUUGAUGCUCACGACGCCCCCGUGACGGCGGGACCCUUGCAGAGAAGGAAACCAGCGGCUCGUCUGAGGUCACAUGGUGUGAGUGGCAGGGUUCUGAUUUACCAGCGCUGACAGCAGCAAUGUCCAACAGCUAGUGGGCGGGGAACGCUCUAUGUAGGCCAAGCCCCGCAGUUAAUGCGGGACACACCAGGUCACCGGAUCCCAACUCACCCUGUACAGCGGGCUCUACCAUGGCCCCAUUUUACAGAGGAGGAAACUGGGGCUGAGAGGGGAGGUCAUUCACUGGGCUUCCCAACAGGUAAGGUGUCCAGCCAGGCCUCAAACCUCCACCUGCCCAAGCUUGCAACGACUGCCUAUGAUUUUACCUGGACCAUAUUACACUGGAGUUAUGGCACGUGGAAACCUUAAAUAUGAGGAUGCCAACACACAGCCAUCUGAGCUACAUUUCCAUCACGUAAUUCACGCACUCUCUCCCGCCACGGGGGAUUCUAUUGCCCAGAAGGGUUCCAGGAUAUAUCCCAUGGGUUCUGAAGGAUCGACCUCAAUUUGGGACUCCAUCUCUUCCACACACACGGGUCCUAUCGCCCCAAAGGGUUCCAUCCCAGAGGAAGAGGCCCUUGAAGGCGAAAGUGCCUACAGCCCAUAAAAGUCACGGCAUGGCCCUGGUUCUCUGCCCACCAGGGUCCCCUACGCAAGUUUCAUGGCGUAGCUAGUGCCUCCUUUAGGUGCCGCCCGGCACUCUGUACCCCGCGAGAGCUGUACCUCAGGGACAUCUGCACACCCAGCUGUACACCAACAAAGCUCUAUCCAGAGCUCAGCGCCCCAUGCCACAUGCCCCUAGGAGAAGGUUCUAGCAUGCAAACCAGCGGUUCUCAACGUGUGGUCCUGUCUGGGAGGCCAAGCCGCUCUACUGAUAACACUCAGCCAUUGUUUGCCCUUCUCACCCUCCUUCGCCAGUAGAGGUGCAGGCAGGGGAGCUUUCCACAGGCUCCAUCACAUGUGAUGAUGUCAUUUGCUCUGAUGGUAAUGGACCGUGUGCUUGUGUGCCAGAUUCAAUUUCUAAUAUGUUAAACAACUAUAAAUAUAACCCACAAAAACUUAAACAAAACUUCUUUGAGACCCU